This 376-nucleotide ribosomal RNA is filed under the name uncultured organism. Its description in RNAcentral is "partial 16S ribosomal RNA". It matches the Rfam family "Bacterial small subunit ribosomal RNA", at positions 527 to 896 of the family's 1533-position model. The record is from RNAcentral.
GUAGGUGGCAAGCGUUGUCCGGAAUUAUUGGGCGUAAAGCGCGCGCAGGCGGUUCUUUAAGUCUGAUGUGAAAGCCCACGGCUCAACCGUGGAGGGUCAUUGGAAACUGGAGAACUUGAGUACAGAAGAGGAAAGCGGAAUUCCACGUGUAGCGGUGAAAUGCGUAGAGAUGUGGAGGAACACCAGUGGCGAAGGCGGCUUUCUGGUCUGUAACUGACGCUGAGGCGCGAAAGCGUGGGGAGCAAACAGGGAUUAGAUACCCUGGUAGUCCACGCCGUAAACGAUGAGUGCUAAGUGUUAGGGGGGUUUUCCGGCCCCCUUAGUGCUGCAGCUAACGCAUUAAGCACUCCGCCUGGGGAGUACGGCCACAAGGCUG